CCCAGAGUCGUCAGCGACUGGACUUGACUGUCAGCGGUCCUUUACCUUUACUAUAUAUUUACUGAGGGACGUCGUUGCUUCAUUUCCUCGAGGGCUCUCACUGCAAGUGGCAGAGCCAUAGUUACAGUACAGCUGGGAGGAUGGUUGGAUCACAUUCUCUGUAAGUCAAACGGCAAGUCCUAGGAAACUAUUUCCCCUGUCCUCAUGAUGACUCAAGGGAAUAGAAUAGAACAUGAAGCCAAGCUGGCAUGCAGGCCCCAGGGAAAGUUUGCGCAGUUCGCAUUCUCAGUUUCCUGUGCAGUUCCGAGAGAGAUCUUGUUGACACAACCCUCACCCUUUCUCUCCUCUUGACACAGCUUCUCCCCCCCUUUUGGGAAGUAUCGUAAUGACUGCUGGGAAACGAUCCCUAACCAACCUUUUCCUGACAGAAAAUGAAGUGUUUUCCCUUCCCCAUCUCAUGCAAUUCCGUUAGCAGAGAAACAUGGAAGGAUUACAGUUUCUGGGUCGCACUCUUGUGUUUUCUUCUCAGAGUUGUGUGUGUUGUGUUGUGUGGUGUAGUGGUGAAUGCUGUUUGGUUGCCACUUUUGAAGUGAGAUUGAACCGCCUGCCUGGUCAGUCUUAGCUUUGCCUCAGGUAGCAAAAUGUUUUAGGGAGCCCUCCAAUAGUGUACAUGUUUUUCAGUCAGAACUUGAUGAAACUCAGUUCUGGCACUUCUCAGGUUGCUAUUUUUAAGAGAAUGAGGUUCAGGGUGAGUUCCAACACCUCUUUUUCUAGAAAAAGAGCAUUCAGUGGUACCUCAGGUUAAGAACCUAAUUCGUUCUGGAGGUCCGUUCUUAACCUGAAACUGUUCUUAACCUGAAGCACCACUUUAGCUAAUGGGGCCUCCCGCUGCCACCGCACGAUUUCUGUUCUCAUCCUGAAGCAAAGUUAUUAACCCAAGGUACUCUUUCUGGGUUAGCAAAGCCUGUAACCUGAAGUAUCUGUAACCUGAAGUGUCUUUAACCCGAGGUACCACUGCAGAGUACAUCAAACCCUGAGCUUUGUGUUUUUACUGGAAUGACAGCAUUCUAUGCUAUAGGGGUGACCACCCACUUCCCUGAGCUUUGUUCACCUGCGUAAGCAGUUUGAAACGUCCCUUAUUGUUGCUGUGAGCUCAAUAUGUUUUCUCUGGGAUGGUUUUUUUAUGAGGUACAGAAUGAAUAUUAUGGUGUGAUGCCUGUCGUUGGCAUGACAUGUGCUGUAGCAGCUUUGAUUAGCCUGAAUGGGCAGAAUCUGAUUCUUUUCCCUUCGGAAACUGGAUCAUCCCAAGCAGCACGGAUUAGCAUCACUGAUUAACCUGUUGCCCUCCAUCUGGACUCCAGUUCCCACCAGCAGCUCCCCAACCAGUGGCCAAUGGUAAGCAAAGGUGAGAGCUGUAAUCCACCAACACCUAGAAGCUUAUGUGGUCCUUCAUGUCUGAAGAAGAAAGACUUGGUACCUUCCUGGCAACAUGAGACUAUUUGAUGCACACUCUAUUAUGGCAGCCAGAGAAAAAGUGGAAGUCUGGACAAUACUAACUCAAUCAUGCCAGUUUCCCUGAGGGUUUCUUCUGUUCUCUGAUUAUUUUCUCUUACUGCCACCACACCAUUUAUUUAUUUUUUUGUUUCAGCAAAGACACCAGGCCUAUAAGAACUGCUGCUGCGGCUACUACCCAGGAGGUCUCCCCUGCUCAGCGCCUGAGGGCCCCAGUCCUGACACUCACCACCUGGCCCAGGGCGGAGCCUGAUGGGCUCUAUAAAGGACUGCUGCCGCUGCUGCUGCUGGGCAGAGAGGGCUCCAUUUUGUUUUGGUUUUGUUUAAAUUGCUGUUAUUUUUUACCUAUGUCAUUUUAAAC
This is a non-coding RNA of Podarcis lilfordi (Lilford's wall lizard), 1873 nucleotides long. The record is from the annotation of a GenBank genome assembly. Lineage: Eukaryota; Metazoa; Chordata; Lepidosauria; Squamata; Lacertidae.